GGCGUCGUGUAGAAAGCGAGGGGGUCCGGCCAUGUCAUGGUGAUGGGUGGGAGCCGCAGCUCUGCGGCAAGGUCGCUCAGGUCCUCCGGGUGUCGGACAGUAAAGGGCCCCUUCGAGAUGAUGGCCUGUAUCCCGGUCGGGAAGGUCCACCGGUAUCUGAUCCUGUUGCUUUGGAGGAUUCUCGUGAGGGGCUUCAUCGCC
This is a non-coding RNA of Pelobates cultripes (western spadefoot toad), 201 nucleotides long. The record is from the annotation of a GenBank genome assembly. NCBI's taxonomy places the organism in Eukaryota, Metazoa, Chordata, Amphibia, Anura, Pelobatidae.